This is a long non-coding RNA of Ornithodoros turicata, 1116 nucleotides long. RefSeq lists it as uncharacterized. The record is from RefSeq and is a predicted model, not a curated record. Lineage: Eukaryota; Metazoa; Arthropoda; Arachnida; Ixodida; Argasidae. The transcript has 4 exons.
UAGUCCUGGCCAAUCUCCCUAGCGGAUAAGCGCCAUCCCGCUUGAGGAGCAACAACAACAACAACAACAUCGGGGAUAGGUUUCGUGCAACUUGCUGGGCUCUGAAUGUAGUAAACCCGCGUUGACAGAAAAUGUAUUUCAUUUACAGCGCAGCAGUGGCGUUCCACCACGCUUUCCGUGGAACAGAGGGUUCUGAUGGCACUGCGAUUCUAUGGAACCGGCGCCUUUCUCGAUAACGUCGCUCAUGAGGAGUAUUUCGCAACGACAAAGCGACCGGUUUCAGAGGCCAUUCAUGCGGUCAGCAUGGCCAUCAUAAAAAACCUGGCUCCCAGCUGCUUGCGAUUUCCUUCAACCCCUGAAGAAAAGAUGGCUGUGAAGCGUGGCUUCUAUAAUAUAAAAGGCCUGCCUGGUUGUCUUGGCGCAGUUGAUGGGACGGCAGUCUCAAUCAUCGCACCAAGCACAGCAGAUCCACGCUUCAUUGAUGGCAACUAUUACUGCCAUAAGGGGUAUCAUGCAUUGAACUGGGGAUCUGCGAUGCAAGUCGACGGAUACUCCACAUUAAUGCAAGAUACCCAGGAAGCUGCCACGAUGCUGCCAUCUGGAGCUUGUGCAGGAUACGCCAGAGGGCCUCGGUCCUUUUUGCAGAGGGAAAGUGGCUACUAGGGGACCUCGGCUACCCACUUGAGCCCUGGCUCAUGACUCCUUUUCGGUCUCCUAGAACAGACAAAGAGGAAGCAUUCAACAAGGCUCACAGCAGCACAGAGUUCGGAUCGAACAGUGUUUUGGAGUGUUGAAGAUGCGCUUCGGGUGCUAGCAGCGUUACCGCACUCUGCACUUUGCACCAGACAGGGCCUGUAACACCAUUACUGCAUGUGCCAUUCUGCACAACAUAUGUCACUCGUACAAUUUGCCUAUGCCAACUGAGGAGCAUGACGUGAUGACUGUAGAAAAUGACAGUGACCAUGAGGAAUCUGACGAGGACGAUUUUGGAGCUGCCGAUAAUCCCAGCCGUGACACUUCAACAUCUCAGGCAAUGCGCAUACGCAAUAGAAUUGUGGACAUAUACUUUUAAGUUUUAACACAUACAAAAACAUAAAAGGCGCCUCAUCCAAACUA